AUUAAGAGUUUGUCAUGGCUCAGGACGACGGCGUGCCUAAUACAUGCAAAGUCGAGCGCGGGAAGCAAGCUGAUCCCUUCGGGGUGACGCUUGUGGAACGAGCGGCGGACGGGUGAGUAACACGUGGGCAACCUGCCCUGUAGAUGGGGAUAACCCCGGGAAACCGGAGCUAAUACCCAAUAAUACGAAGGAGUGCAUACUUCAUCGUUAAAAGUUGGCUUUGGCUAACACUACAGGAUGGGCCCGCGGCGCAUUAGCUAGUUGGUGAGGUAAGAGCUCACCAAGGCGACGAUGCGUAGCCGACCUGAGAGGGUGAUCGGCCACACUGGGACUGAGACACGGCCCAGACUCCUACGGGAGGCAGCAGUAGGGAAUCUUCCGCAAUGGACGAAAGUCUGACGGAGCAACGCCGCGUGAGUGAGGAAGGUCUUCGGAUCGUAAAGCUCUGUUGUUAGGGAAGAACAAGUACCGUUCGAAUAGGUCG
Molecule: ribosomal RNA, 484 nt
Filed under: uncultured bacterium
Lineage: Bacteria
Description: bacterial SSU rRNA
Rfam family: Bacterial small subunit ribosomal RNA
Source: RNAcentral